UACGAAGGGGGCUAGCGUUGCUCGGAUUUACUGGGCGUAAAGCGCACGUAGGCGGAUCGUCAAGUCGGGGGUGAAAUCCUGGAGCUCAACUCCAGAACUGCCUUCGAUACUGGCGAUCUAGAGUCCGGAAGAGGUGAGUGGAACUCCUAGUGUAGAGGUGGAAUUCGUAGAUAUUAGGAAGAACACCAGUGGCGAAGGCGGCUCACUGGUCCGGUACUGACGCUGAGGUGCGAAAGCGUGGGGAGCGAACGGG
Molecule: ribosomal RNA, 253 nt
Filed under: uncultured bacterium
Lineage: Bacteria
Description: partial 16S ribosomal RNA
Rfam family: Bacterial small subunit ribosomal RNA
Source: RNAcentral